Molecule: small nucleolar RNA, 206 nt
Organism: Chionomys nivalis (European snow vole)
Lineage: Eukaryota; Metazoa; Chordata; Mammalia; Rodentia; Cricetidae
Product: small nucleolar RNA U3
Exons: 1
Source: RefSeq, a predicted model, not a curated record
AAGACUAUACUUUCAGGGAUCAUUUCUAUAGUUCGUUACUAGAAAGAAAGCAGAAGUAUAAUCUUUUUGUUGGGUUUGCAGGAGAAGGAUGCUAAGCUUCUAAGGAAGAAGAAAAGAAGAAAUGAAAAUUAUUUGCUAAUAUCCCAGCGGUUCUUUUAUGAUAUGCAAGACACUAUCAGCAUCUGACUUGGUUAUUGCUGACCUGC